Long non-coding RNA from Oncorhynchus keta (chum salmon), 200 nucleotides. RefSeq lists it as uncharacterized. The record is from RefSeq and is a predicted model, not a curated record. The transcript has 4 exons. NCBI's taxonomy places the organism in Eukaryota, Metazoa, Chordata, Actinopteri, Salmoniformes, Salmonidae.
UAAAGGGACAGUAGCUACUAACCUAGACUCUCAGGUUAUUAAAGGGACAGUAGCUACAGACCUAGACUCUCAGGUUAUUAAAGGGACAGUAGCUACUGGCCUAGACUCUCAGGUUAUUAAAGGGACAGUAGCUACUGGCCUAGACUCUCAGGUUAUUAAAGGGACAGUAGCUAUUAACAUAGACUCUCAGGUUAUUAAAG